Molecule: ribosomal RNA, 253 nt
Filed under: uncultured bacterium
Lineage: Bacteria
Description: partial 16S ribosomal RNA
Rfam family: Bacterial small subunit ribosomal RNA
Source: RNAcentral
GACAGAGGGUGCAAGCGUUGUUCGGAAUUACUGGGCGUAAAGCGCGUGUAGGCUGCUUGGAAAGUCGGAUGUGAAAGCCCUGGGCUCAACCCAGGAAGUGCAUUCGAAACUCCCGAGCUCGAGUACCGGAGAGGAAGGCGGAAUUCUCGGUGUAGAGGUGAAAUUCGUAGAUAUCGAGAGGAACACCUGUAGCGAAGGCGGCCUUCUGGACGGUUACUGACGCUGAGACGUGAAAGCGUGGGGAGCAAACAGG